UCCCGUCUUGGGCGGGCGGUCCGCGCCCGUGUGAAGCUCCUUCGACGAGUCGAGUUGUUUGGGAAUGCAGCUCUAAGCGGGUGGUAAAUUUCAUCUAAAGCUAAAUAUUGGCCGGAGACCGAUAGCGCACAAGUAGAGUGAUCGAAAGGUUAAAAGCACCUUGAAAAGGGAGUUAAACAGCACGUGAAAUUGUUGAAAGGGAAGCGCUUGCGGCCAGACUCGGGGGCGGGGUUCAGCGGGUGCUCGUCGCCCGUGUAUUCCUCGUCUCCCGGGCCAGCAUCAGUUUCGACGGCCGGUCAAAGGCCCCCGGAAUGUGUCGUCUCUCGGGACGUCUUAUAGCCGGGGGUGCAAUGCGGCCCGUCGGGACUGAGGAACGCGCUCCGGCUCGGAUGCUGGCGUAAUGGCCGUAAGCGGCCCGUCUUGAAACACGGACCAAGGAGUCUAACAUCCACGCGAGUGUUCGGGUGUCAAACCCGUGCGCGCAGUGAAAGCGAACGGAGGUGGGAGCCUUAGGGCGCACCAUCGACCGAUCCUGAAGUCUUCGGAUGGAUUUGAGUAGGAGCGUGGCCGUUGGGACCCGAAAGAUGGUGAACUAUGCCUGAAUAGGGUGAAGCCAGAGGAAACUCUGGUGGAGGCUCGCAGCGGUUCUGACGUGCAAAUCGAUCGUCAAAUUUGGGCAUAGGGGCGAAAGACUAAUCGAACCAUCUAGUAGCUGGUCUGCG
RNAcentral lists this ribosomal RNA (722 nucleotides) under Trichophyton mentagrophytes. RNAcentral describes it as "LSU rRNA". It matches the Rfam family "Eukaryotic large subunit ribosomal RNA", at positions 219 to 960 of the family's 3401-position model. The record is from RNAcentral. Lineage: Eukaryota; Fungi; Ascomycota; Eurotiomycetes; Onygenales; Arthrodermataceae.